RNAcentral lists this ribosomal RNA (2866 nucleotides) under Pseudoleptorhynchoides lamothei. RNAcentral's name for it is "eukaryotic LSU rRNA". It matches the Rfam family "Eukaryotic large subunit ribosomal RNA", at positions 368 to 2885 of the family's 3401-position model. The record is from RNAcentral. Lineage: Eukaryota; Metazoa; Acanthocephala; Palaeacanthocephala; Echinorhynchida; Rhadinorhynchidae.
AAAGUACUUUGAAAAGAGGGUCAAAUAGUACGUGAAACUGUGCAUUGUAAAGCGAAUGUUAGUACGAGCAAUGGGGCGGGCAGUUCAGCUACCUUCCAUUCGUGCGUGCGUUGGUGACGUGUUGUCGUUUUCGCCGCGUGUAUGCGUGUGGUGGUGGCGCAUUCUAUCCGUCCAAAAAUUACCCGGGCCGCUGCCCACGAAGGGCGCUCGUUGCACAAGACUUUACCUCUUCUGGUAUUCUUGGGUGACGGGCGAGAUAUGCUACUGCAUGGCGUGGUUGGCGGUUCGUGUCAAGAUUAGCUGCAAGUUUUUGACGUGCUAGAGUUGUGGCAGCAACAGUGUCUGUCCCACGCGCUUAGGUGUGUGGGCUGUGCGCUGUCGCCGCUCACGAUGAAUAGCUGCAACGUCUGCAGCCACUCAGUGCUCGGAGGGUAAAACGAUCGUAUGGUGGCAUUCGACCCGUCUUGAAACACGGACUAAGGAGUUCAACAAGUGCGCAAGUCUUCCUGAAUGAUAAAAGACUGGAAGGCGAAGUGAAAGCGAAUUGUAUGGCGCAGUGUCAACGAACGUUGGCUCGUUCGGUAAACACUUGUGAUGGGAGGCAUUGAUGUUAUGGUUGCUGUCUGCAACUGAGCGUGCGUGUUGAGACCCGAAAGAUGGUAAACUAUGCCUGAGCAGGAUGAAGCCAGGGGAAACUCUGGUGGAGGUCCGAAGCGCUUUUGACGUGCAAAUCAAUCGCUGGACUUGGGUAUAGGGGCGAAAAACUAAUCGAACCAUCUAGUAGCUGGUUCCCUUCGAAGUUUCUCUCAGGAAAGCUGGUACUGGCACUUGAACAGUUUUAUCUGGUAAAGCGAAUGAUUAGAGGCAUUGGGGACGAAUUGUCCUCGACCUAUUCUCAAACUUUAAAUGGGUAAGAUGCUCUUCGUUUCUUGAUUGAGCGGGAGCUCGACGAAUGUAUCGGUACCGAGUGGGCUAUGUUUGGUAAGCAGAACUGGCGAUGUGGAAUGAACCAAAAGUUAAGCUAAGAUGCCAAAGACAUUUCUCAUAAGACACCAUGAAAGGUGUUAGUUGAUAUUGACAGCAGGACGGUGGCCAUGGAAGUCGGAAUCCGCUAAGGAGUGUGUAACAACUCACCUGCCGAAUCAACUAGCCCUGAAAAUGGAUGGCGCUGUAGACAUGCAUCUAUGCUUAACCGUCGAGCUGUUGUUGUCGUUGUCGUCGACGACGACGACGACGACGACGACGACGUUUGAUGGCUCGACGUGUAGAAGGGCGCGUGUGCUGGCGUUGAAGCUCUCAGCGUGAGCUGGGGUGGAGCUGGCGCAGGUGCAGAUCUUAGUGGUAGUAGCAAGUAUUCAAAUGAGAACUUUGAAGACUGACGUGGAGAAGGGUUCCAUGUGAACAUUAUUUGAACGUGGGUCAGCCGAUCCUAAGACAAUGGAAGACUUCAUGAACAAGUAUGUGUCGUUUGAUAUCGUGAUCGAAAGGGAAUCGGGUUAAUAAUCCCGAGCCAGGCUACGGAUGUGGAUGUCUCUAUUGACGAGGUCAUCUGAUACGGUAACGUAAACAAACUCAGAGAUUGACUACUUUAUGUUCGGGGAAGAGUUCUCUCUUCUUUGUUAGGGUCGUUAUCCCUGGAAGCAGCUUGUCUGGAGAUAGGGUACGCGGUCCGUAUUGCAACGUGACUCGUACGUUGCACCGUGCGCAUAGAGUAGUGCUUGAAAAUCUGAGGGCGAUGUCGUUAUUUUCGUACCUGCUCGUACCCAUUUCCGCAGCAGGUCUCCAAGGUGUAUAGCCUCUAGUCAAAAGGACAAAGUAGACAAGGGAAGUCGGCAAAUUAGAUCUGUAACUUUGGAAUAAGGAUUGGCUCUAAAGGCUGAGUUGAUCGGACUGUGACAGUAAUUGGAAGGAGAAGCUUUGUGACUGGUCGAGGUUUGACUUCGAAAGUUGUCGGAUCGAGAUCGGACCUCAGCGAUAUCUGUACCAUGUAUGGUCUCAGCUGUGUUUCUUCUGCGCUUCUACAUCUUCACGGUGUUCAGAGGUGUUCAGGGUGAAACCUCGGUCAGCGUUUAACAGCUAAACUAGAACUGGUACGGACAAGGGGAAUCCAACUGUUUAAUUAAAACAAAGCAUUGCGAUAGCUGUGAUUGGUGUUGACGCAAUGUGAUUUCUGCCCAGUGCUCAGAAUGUUAACGUGAAGAGAUUUAAGCAAGCGCGGGUAAACGGCGGGAGUAACUAUGACUCUCUUAUGGUAGCCAAAUGCCUCGUCAUCUAAUUAGUGACGCGCACGAAUGGAUUAAUGAGAUUCCUUCUGUCCCUGUCUGCAGCCUAGCGAAACCACAGCCAAGGGAACGGGCUUGGAAUUAAACAGCGGGGAAAGAAGACCCUGUUGAGCUUGACUCUAGUCAGUCUUUGUGAAGAAACAUGAGGGAUGUAGAAUAUGUGGGACCUCCAUCUUUGGAGGGACAGUGAAAUACCACUGCCUUCAUUGUUUCUUUACUUACUCGGUGAUUCGGUUGGCAGUAUUGCUAUUUGUCAGGUAAAUUUCAUCCUUGAGUGCGAUGAACUGUCUGUUUUGAGAACAUAGACUGAUUGGGAGUUUGACUGGGGCGGUACAUCUAUUAAAAUCUAACGCAGGUGUCCUAAGGCGAUCUCAGCGAGGGCAGAAACCUCGCAUAGAGUGAAAGGGCAAAAGGUCGCUUGAUCUUGAUUUUCAGUGAGAAUACAGACAAUGAAAGUUUGGCUUGUCGAUCCUUUUGAAUUUUACGAGUUUUAAGCAAGAGGUGUCAGAAAAGUUACCACAGGGAUAACUGGCUUGUGGCGGCCAAGCGAUCAUAGCGACGUCGCUUUUUGAUCCUUCGAUGUC